AUCUCUGGAAAACGAGACUUGCCUAACUUUUCAACUGCGGCGUUUAAGUCAAUGGAGACCGUCAGGUCUGCUCGCAGCCCCUCCAUCCGCCAGCAACAGCCUUGCCUUUCCCGAUCCUUCCUCCGCAACUCCCCCACCCCGGGGGGGGGGGGGAGCUGGUGGCUGGCGACCCUGGCGGAGGGAAGGUGACCCCCGGACCCCCGUCCUUACCUUCCUCUCGGAACACUCGGGGCGCCUAAGGCAGCAGCGCAGGCACGCGUCCCAGCAACAGUGACGGAGAGACGCCCCUUCGGUCCCGAGCCCCGGAGCCCAUCUUUCCCCGGCUAAGCUUAAAAAAUCAGGAUGGAUUUUUUUUUUUUAACGCGCACAUAAGAGAAGUAAAAGAACGCGGGGAUCGGGGGUGGGGGGAGAGAGAAUCAAAGAGGGGAGGGCUGGGGGAAUAAAAGCCCCCCAGGAACCCGGAGCCUACGCCGUAGCCAAGUGAAUCCAACCUCCCACCGAGGCGCCGGCGGGAGCGGGGAGAGCCCCCGAAGACAGACGCUAAGGAAUUUAAAAAAAAAAAAAAAAAAGGAAGUGGCUUCACAGCCACUGGAGCUGUUUUUCCAGACCUGCGCCCCCCCAGCAAAGCAAUCGGCCAGGAAGCCAAGGAAGCGCGCCGAGCAGAGGCGGCGGCGCGGCCGAUGCGCCGGGGCGGCGGGUUCACUCCGCGGGCGCCCGCGGCCGCCUCGGGAGGCUGGGGCUCCUGUCUUCCCCUCUCCCCGCUCUCCUCCCGCCCCUCCGUCUCCUCCCGCCCCACAGCCCGCAGAGAGUCGAUAGAAUUGAAUCCAGCAAGGAACCAGAACCGGUGCAUCAACCUCAGGCUCGGUAUCUCUUCUUGCCUGUUCACUGGGUGCCAGUCCCUGUAUGACAGCUGUUGUACUGUACUACUGUACUUUUCAAGAGAAGAAGGCUUUAAAGAUCCUGAAACAAGUCAAUCAUUGGUCUAUUUUACACAUAAUCACUAAGCAGGUACUCCCCUUAAGGCAUGUUGUAACAUGUUUGGGAGUCAGAGGUGGUAAGAGUCCCGCCAUUGCUAUGAUAGUCUCUGUUGGUAGAGGUAACCAGUGAAUAACUAGCCACACUUAAUUAUAUGUUGAAAAUGUAUCGAAUGUCUCAGAGGACAAAGAAAGCACAUUCUGAAAAGUGAGAAGCACGUGUGGUGGGGGAGGGGGGCAUACGAUCAGGUAUUGGUGGGCAGAGAACAGUUUUCUGAGGAAGUGGCAUUUAAUCAGAGAGCUGAAGGACAGUGAGAGGUGACUAGUCAUCUUCGCCAAGGGGAACAGGCGGUGGAAAUACACUGAGGUGGGUGGGAGCAGAACAGGUUCAGAAAAAGAAAAUAAAAGUGUGGAGAGUGAAAAACA
Molecule: long non-coding RNA, 1400 nt
Filed under: Bos indicus x Bos taurus (hybrid cattle)
Lineage: Eukaryota; Metazoa; Chordata; Mammalia; Artiodactyla; Bovidae
Description: lncRNA (ENSBIXG00005006048.1)
Source: RNAcentral